UCAGGUAUUUCUGACAACAUGUGCAUUUAUUUGUAUUAGAAGUACAAACGUAGGAAUCCAAAUACAAAUACAGAGGGCGGCCCAGCCACGAGGCCCAGCUGAGGGCACGGCGGGGACGGGACGCACGAAGCGGGGCGCGGCGCCGCCCGUGUCGCCAAGGCACGUCGGGCGCCAGUGCGCCCUCAUUUCACUAGGACACCACGAGCCGCACGGAUAGCGGGGAGCCACGUCCUCUGCGCAGGGGAGGAGGGCGGCGGGACCUCGGGACCGCCCGGAGCCAGGGCCUCCAAUCCCUCGCGGGACGACAGGGACACAGGGGCUACUGGAGGCCACUUGGUGAGGGCGGGUCCCUGCUGGGGCAGGAGGCGCACGCACUGGGGCAGGGCGCGGCCCCCUCGGGGCCAAGCGCAUCCACACCGGUGCUCUAAGAUGAUUCCAAAAUGUUUUCGGAUUCUGGAAUCUCCCGGCCUACCUCCCAUCUGGAGGACAAUGGCUUCACAGGCAGGAAGGAUUCCAUGGGAACAGAGAGCAGUCCGCGCCUCUCUCCUUCCCUUCCUGCCUGGGCCAUCUCCCAGGACCCCUGACAGUUUCACCUCCCACACAGGCUUCACAGAGAGAGGACCCUGCCCACACCCCGGCUGCUUCAAGCCUGACCUGACGCCUUCCUGUGACCUGCGAAUACGACUUCCUAGACAAGGGUGGGGAUGGCUGUUUGCCAUCUAAAUCUUGAAAAGUACUUUUGGCUUAUCGGGUCAACUUGACCAGAAUGCACGAAUGAUCAAGGAGUCGCCCAGGUGUGCACCCCGGUCACAACAGUGAUGCUCAAGGGCUCUCCAAAGGAGGCAGGCUUGUGUGGACCCCAGAGGGACUCCUGAUCAGAAAUUGCAGAUGAAAUUUCUUACGGGUAGAGUUUAAAAUCGCUCAGGAAAAGCACUCAAAAAGAGUUGCAAGAUCAUGGAGUGAAUUCCAAGUGCUUUGUGCCUUGAGAGCACUGAACCGAUACGGUGAUAAGAAUAAUGGUUGGAGACCAGGUGUAAUUCUUCAAGUCUCAAAGGAAAUCACAGAAAAUUUCCAUUUUGGCAGCUGAGAUAAAAAUGAUC
Molecule: long non-coding RNA, 1100 nt
Filed under: Homo sapiens (human)
Lineage: Eukaryota; Metazoa; Chordata; Mammalia; Primates; Hominidae
Description: non-protein coding lnc-OCA2-2:1
Source: RNAcentral